Mercenaria mercenaria is the source of this 205-nucleotide long non-coding RNA. RefSeq lists it as uncharacterized. The record is from RefSeq and is a predicted model, not a curated record. Lineage: Eukaryota; Metazoa; Mollusca; Bivalvia; Venerida; Veneridae. The transcript has 2 exons.
UUGAAAAGGACACAUCAAACGUUUGAGAUACAAGGGGGGUAACUCCAACAAGUCAGUGGAAAAACUUAAGUUUAAUGGUUAAACACGAAUACUUUAUGCCCCAGUUUAAAUAUCAAGUGUAUUUUAUAGACUAAAAUUGUACAGUUGAUUUGUUGCUCCUUGAUACAAUGGCGUGAGCACAGAGGCAGGAACACUGAGAGAGGAG